RNAcentral lists this transfer RNA (73 nucleotides) under Pleurosigma inscriptura. Its description in RNAcentral is "tRNA-Met". It matches the Rfam family "tRNA". Rfam says of the family: Transfer RNA (tRNA) molecules are approximately 80 nucleotides in length. The record is from RNAcentral. Lineage: Eukaryota; Bacillariophyta; Bacillariophyceae; Naviculales; Pleurosigmataceae.
GCUAAAGAAGUGUUAAUGGUAGACACGUCGGGCUCAUGUCCUGGAAAAGGAGGUUCAAAUCCUCUCUUUAGUA